UCCUCAGUAGCUCAGUUGGUUAGAGCACCUGACUGUUAAUCAGGGGGUCCUAGGUUCAAGUCCUAGCUGGGGAGCCA
This 77-nucleotide transfer RNA is filed under the name Bacteroidales bacterium. RNAcentral's name for it is "tRNA-Asn". It matches the Rfam family "tRNA". Rfam says of the family: Transfer RNA (tRNA) molecules are approximately 80 nucleotides in length. Their secondary structure includes four short double-helical elements and three loops (D, anti-codon, and T loops). Further hydrogen bonds mediate the characteristic L-shaped molecular structure. tRNAs have two regions of fundamental functional importance: the anti-codon, which is responsible for specific mRNA codon recognition, and the 3' end, to which the tRNAs corresponding amino acid is attached (by aminoacyl-tRNA synthetases). tRNAs cope with the degeneracy of the genetic code in two manners: having more than one tRNA (with a specific anti-codon) for a particular amino acid; and 'wobble' base-pairing, i.e. permitting non-standard base-pairing at the 3rd anti-codon position. The record is from RNAcentral. Lineage: Bacteria; Pseudomonadati; Bacteroidota; Bacteroidia; Bacteroidales. RNAcentral also lists the same sequence under 1 other name.